RNAcentral lists this transfer RNA (67 nucleotides) under Conus venulatus. RNAcentral describes it as "tRNA-Pro". Lineage: Eukaryota; Metazoa; Mollusca; Gastropoda; Neogastropoda; Conidae. The record is from RNAcentral.
CAGGAUCGUAGUUUAAACAAAACAUUUGCAUUGGAAGCUAAAACUCAGGUGGAUACCUGCAUCUUGA